UGGGGGGGGAGGUGGUGAAGGCUGCAGCGCCGGGGUCCUCACGCCCUUUCUCAUUUGGUAGGGGGAAAUGGAAUCUCGCGAGAAUCAUGUUGCUGGCUGGUCAUCCUGGAGGCUUGGCAUUUACGGGGCGGGGAGAGGUUAGGGGUCGUUGUCGUGAUGGAUACCCUUGGUUCUUUCUCCACCCCGCUCCCUCCCACUGCCCCGUACCCCAACUGUCGCGAGAGUUUAAUGGAGUAACUAGGAUGAACCCCUUGCCGGGAGCUAGCCGGAAGGAUUACGCAGACGGCCUAGAGAGGAAAUGGAAUUCCCCGGGGCGCGUGCACAUCUCUGGGUGAUGGUACCCAGGCCGGUGGGUGCUGCCUUUGACAGUUCGGGAUGCCGGUGCCGCGGGGCCUCCGGUUAAUUUGAGGACUCGGGAGUGAGAUGCGCCUAAUUAAAAGAUCCCUUCAGGAUGCCCGUGGAAGAGCUCUUGGGUCGGUUGCCCCGGGUCAUCUCGGGGCAGGCCGCCUGGAUGUCGACCAGGGCCCCGGCCAAGGUUAAACGCAGGGUUCGACGCCCUGAAACGGGCUGUUCCUCGUUUUUCCAUUUAAAUGCAGAGGGCUGGAGAGAGUGAAACCCAGCAAAGUGACCUAGGAGGCAUUUUGGUAAUCGUGUUGAUCAAAAUACUAAUGCUGAUCGUAAAGUGUGAUAUAAGUUAAGGAAUCAUUUCCUGGUUGUCUUGGCUCAGUGUUUCCUACCCCUCUAAAGCAGGGGGAGGUCGUUUUGCUCUAAGUUGUAACUUAAAGACAUAGUUAGGGAACCCCAAUCUCCUAGACCUGGGAGAAGGCAGUCUUACAGCUUUUGAAUGUCAAAGGAACUUUGAGGCUGAUGGCAAGUUGACUGAUACCAUGUUUCUGUAAGUAUUUUUUUGGAAUAAAGUCUUCUCUCCAUCCCUAAUUUUUAAGGUUUUGUACUUGGAAGGGAUUUUGAAUUUAAGAACUUUACAGUAAGGAAGCCUUAGCAGUUCCGUUCAACAAAAAUAUAUUAGUUGCCUACCGUAAUAUGUAUGGGAUACAGUUCUGGGUCUGGAGAUAAGAAAAACAGACCCUUACCUGUAAGGAAAUAUUAGAAGGAUGUACUUAAAGACUUUAAAAGAAAGUUAGACAAGUUCCUCAAUGCAAAAAUUAUUUUUAAACAAUUUCAAAAGACAGACUUGUCCGAUGUCUACAGCCUAGGUAAACAGGGUGACCCAAUAGCUUUUAGCACAUCUACUCAUCUUAGAAGCUACAGAGGGCCUCUUCCUUCUCCUUAGCCUCUCUACCCCUUUGUCUCUUACGCUCUCUAUUCUGCAUUAACCCCUCUUUGUCUCUCUUAACUGACAUUUUUGAUUUUGAGGAUUAUUUGUUCAGGUGAAUUUUCUGUUUCCUGUUAAGAAGGUGAGUGGGACACCUUAAAUUUUAACCAGGUUACAGUCUAAAUAAAUGAAAGACAAAUGGGCAUCCAUCAAACAUUGGUCUUAAUUGAUACCUUUUUUCCCUGGCAGUAGCCUGUGACAGCUAGAACAAAGGUUCUUAAUUCCUAAUAUAGGCUGUAUGUAUUCCAGAGAAUUUAUUUUUUAAAAAAUACUUUUUCAUACUGUAGUGCCUUGCUACGUAUUAGCAAGUUAAGUUUUCUGAAUGAACCACACUUAGUUUUAAUUGUGAGAUCACUAGGUCAUUGUUCCUACCUUUGGUACCCUGGCUUUAAAGUAACAGUAUUAAUAAUAUUAGAAAUGUGGGCAUUUUAUCCCCCAAAGACUUUAUAUUUCUCAUAACUUACCUCUGAUAUAAGUAUAUCUUACCAUUUCAUUGUGUUAAUAUAAAAAUAGGACUUGUGAGGCAAAGUGGCUUGUUAGUUAUAAUUUAGUAGUUUGGCAAAAUCAGAAUGAGGGGUGUAUAAAAGUCAACAUACUGAAUAAGAUUCUAUGUCAUAUGAUGAGUAAACUCUAUCAUAGAUAUGAAUUCACACUUUUCACAUGCAUUAACUCUUUUAAACUAUUAUGACACCUAACAGAUUAAAAAACAUAGUAAACUUAACAUUAAAAAAAAUUGGAUCACAAAACUUUCACAAGUCCUCGUACUUAUACAACAUAGAGAUGAUGCAUCUUAUUAUAGUAAUAACCUUACUUCUCUGGAACUCCCUUAUCCGGCAACCUCAUCUAUCUGGAACACAGACAAAAGCCAGCAGAUAAGCAGCAAAGUAGCCAAAAUAGAGGUCAUAAAAUCCAAGCUUGAAGUUCUUUUACUAACCUUACUUAUAGGAGAGGCCAUGGGGACUUCACUCAGAGCUUACUAACUCUUAUUUUGAAGUCUAAUAAUGAGUUUGAUAAACUAGUUUCCAAUUUUACUGUCAGACCAGAAGCAGCAAAUUAGACAGGAGAGAGGCUACCAAAGACACACUAACAGCAUAGGAAAACUUCUGACAGCCAGAUAUCAAGAAAUGAGAAAAACUAAAAUUUAGACACAAGAACGUAAAAAAAAAAAAAAGCACAUCUGCCUGGGGCCAUUUAGUAUAGGGGCAAACAGACCUACACACUUCAUUAGGCCCUGAUGGCAUCACUCUUACAUCACAGUAAAUGAUGUUCAUAAUGAUGAUGCUGAGUCAUCUUCAUGGAAAGAUUAAAUUAUGUUCUGUAUACUCCGUUUAAAAAGUCAAGGAAGCAUAGAAUACCUUAAAACCUUAAAGCAGGAAGCAUUUAGAAAGAUUUCAAUUCAAAAAUGGCUAACAUUUUUUAAAAGUUGUGUUGCUUAUGUAGAUAAACAUUUAGCCUUCCAUAAAACUCAGCUAUUCAGAAUGACUUAUAAUAAAUAUGAAUAGGGACUGGACCUGUGAUGUCAUUGAUAUAAGUAACUCCUAAAGAACUCCCUUUACCAAUGUGAGGAGUCACCUGCUCUGAGGGUUAGUGCUCACAGUCACAGAGCAUGUAUGUAACAGUGACAGAUGGCUGAGAGGCCAGCUCUCUAUCCACUAGUUCAUGGCUAUUCUAAUAAUUGAAACAGAGUAUCUUCCUUACAGCAACCCUGUGAAAUAGAUGCUAUACAUACUACUCCCCUUUCACAGGUAAGGAAACUGAUUCAUACAGUUAAUAAGUGUUGAAUUUUGCCCUGGACUCAAAUCCACAUCUUCCAGUUUCAGGGUCAGAGUUUUUUCACAAUAUAUUCCAUGGGGGCUCUGAACAAAUGAAAAAAAACCUUAAUAUUAACUCCUUAAGGCAUAUAUUGUUAUACUGAAAUUGGUUAUCUGAUACGGUGGUGUAAAAUUCAAAUAGAAACAAAUCUCUGCAGGCCACAUACUGACUUAGAAAACCUUGAGUUCUUUUAUUUCAUUUGUUUUGUUGAACAUUUCUUAAUUACAUUUAAACCUAGUUCAGCUGAGCUAGGUUCAUGAGCUCAGGAGUUUGGCUCCUCAGAAUCUAUUAGAGUAAUAGAUGUUGUUUGUCCUUCAUUCUCAAAGAGGACCAGUGGCAUCACCAGGUGAUUAACUUGUACCUGGAUUGGAUUGAACUGAGGCAGAGUUUCACAAAGUCAUCAGUAUCACUCUCUCCUCCAGUCAUCCAAAGUCAAGACAACUGACAGUAGCCCAGAAUGCAGUGGAUGACCUUGGCCUUUCUAAAUUAAGGUUUUUUUUCCAGGCCUCGGUCUGAGGCCAUACCCAUCCGAUAGAUAAUGGAAGCAGAAAGAUGUGGGUGGGCUUAAAUCUUGUGCUGAUCAAGUUACUAUAUCUCUGUUCACCUUAGGCCACUCCCUAGUAUCAUAUAGUCCUAUAUUUAGAGUUGGAAAGGUCUCAGAGAACAUCUAAUCUAACCUUUACCAAUGAAGAACUUAGGGACAAGAGAGAUUAAACUUGGGAGGUUUUUCUGAUUCUAAGUCCAGGACUCUACCCCCUAAGCCAUGCUAUGGAGCUAUGAGUUACAUUUUAAAUUUACCAAAAAAAUUUGUAGUUGCUGAUGAUAUGAUACUUUUUGCCCAGUAUUGAGCAGCUAUGGUGGCUAAAGGAAAGUGUUUGAAUUUACCUGUGGAUAUAAUUAACAUGGAUCAAUACAUAUACUAACUUGACAAUACAUUUGUAUUUUUAGACUUUAUAACUUUGUCAUUUGUUUUUUAGGUUUGGGAAACAUGAAAGUAAUAAAAAGGACAUAAUUUUAUAAAUUUAAUUUAUAUACACGUGGUACUUGUUCACAUUCUUAUCUGGAGUAUAAUGUGUAAAAAUGUUUGGCAAGUCAAAAAAAUUAAUACUUGGCUAUUUUAAAUGAAUACAAGAAACAAAAAUAAUCCUAUACCAAACCUUCAUGAAUGUGGACUGAGGCACAAAUUAUGAUUGAUAGAACCAAAGGUAAACUUUGUGUUUAGAAUGUCAGUUUAAACUUUAAGUGAAGUUAUAGCCUGAAAAAAAUUGAAGAUCUAAUAAAAAUCAGACUAGAAGUUUAGAAAAAAAAUUAAAAUGUUAUUUUCAAAUGCAUGUGACACAAAGUCAUCUGAUGCCAGAAAUGUUGAAGACUGGUAGAUUUUCAAAAUUUAUAUUAAAAACCUAUACACAAAGCUAUAACUUGAGAUUGACAUAAGCAAUUUAUUGUCAUGUUGUCAUAUCAUGAUUUUGAAGAUAAUUUCAUUGGUACUUAUUAUUUAUAUAAUGGAAAUUACUGAAUAAAAUUUUUUUAAUUUCA
Molecule: non-coding RNA, 4681 nt
Organism: Phascolarctos cinereus (koala)
Lineage: Eukaryota; Metazoa; Chordata; Mammalia; Diprotodontia; Phascolarctidae
Source: RefSeq, a predicted model, not a curated record